Molecule: long non-coding RNA, 799 nt
Filed under: Homo sapiens (human)
Lineage: Eukaryota; Metazoa; Chordata; Mammalia; Primates; Hominidae
Description: uncharacterized LOC105379109, transcript variant 19 (LOC105379109)
Source: RNAcentral
UUGUAUGCCGGAAGGGAUAAAUCUGGGGCUGAGUACAAGCAAAACAAGACCAAAGGAAGCUACCUGAGCAGGUAUUCCAGAUACUCAUGUCAUACACCAAGGUUGUACCAGUGCCCCUUUCUCUGUGACACAUCCAUCCACUGGAAACUUUCGUACAACUAGCUGAAAGAAGAGAAACAUCCUAUUUCAUGUCACUGGAGCCCUAAUGAUCGCAGCCAUUUCAGGAAAUGCCAUCAAUUACAGUGAGGAGCUCAUUCAGAAGUGAAAGAUGAGUUCCAUUCUCUGUUACUUAGAGGACAAUAGAUUAUAUUGGAUGUAGAUGAAGUUUGGGCAGAAUCAGGGAUCAAUGGCUCCAUCUAAAUUGUUGCACCAAAACACAGACAUACACCUGCUUUUAGAUUUGAAGAGUGAAUCCUCUCUGGAAAAUGUAGCAACUACUCAAAAAAGGUUGGAGGACCAACACUUCUAAGAAGCAGGAGGUAUUACAAAGCUCAAAUCUGAGAAAACCUUGUCUACCAUCAACCCUGACCUACAGAGGAGAGGCACCCCCAAGCUUAUUAGUGAUCCUGUCUCCGUCUUAUUGGCACAUCCUGAUGGCCUUGAUCUCUAGUUCUUCCUGUGGAGCAUAACCAUAUGGUUCUUUGCCAAGAUGUUAAGACCAAAGUCGGAGAGUGAACCCCAUGUCAAUGAAUUCUUGUUUUUCUGAUCUUACAUUCCAUCACUUUGAUCCAGUACUCUCAAAAUGCAAUCACAGUUGUACAUGUCUUCUCCUGUCAAUAAACGCUACCUUAGUACUGCA